RNAcentral lists this ribosomal RNA (254 nucleotides) under uncultured bacterium. RNAcentral's name for it is "partial 16S ribosomal RNA". It matches the Rfam family "Bacterial small subunit ribosomal RNA", at positions 524 to 776 of the family's 1533-position model. The record is from RNAcentral.
UACGUAGGUGGCAAGCGUUGUCCGGAAUUAUUGGGUCGUAAAGCGCGCGCAGGCGGUCCUUUAAGUCUGAUGUGAAAGCCCACGGCUCAACCGUGGAGGGUCAUUGGAAACUGGGGGACUUGAGUGCAGAAGAGGAAAGUGGAAUUCCACGUGUAGCGGUGAAAUGCGUAGAGAUGUGGAGGAACACCAGUGGCGAAGGCGGCUACCUGGACCGGUUCUGACGCUGAGGCGCGAAAGCGUGGGUAGCAAACAGG